RNAcentral lists this long non-coding RNA (220 nucleotides) under Sorghum bicolor (sorghum). RNAcentral describes it as "long non-coding RNA (SBIC_LNC007310)". Lineage: Eukaryota; Viridiplantae; Streptophyta; Magnoliopsida; Poales; Poaceae. The record is from RNAcentral.
AAACGAGCAAGAUGAUGUUGGAAGUUCUGAAAAAAGGCCCUAGGACUACUGCAGAACUGGAAGCACCUGUAGCUGAUACACCUCUAGUGCCUGAUACACCUCUUGUGCCUGCUGAUACACCUCUUGUGCCUGCUGAUACUGUACUAGAUAUAUCUGGUGGCAAGCGUGCUUUUAUUGAGGCAGAUGAAGCAAAGGAACUGCUGAGUCCACUUACAAAACC